Onychostoma macrolepis is the source of this 836-nucleotide long non-coding RNA. RefSeq lists it as uncharacterized. The transcript has 3 exons. NCBI's taxonomy places the organism in Eukaryota, Metazoa, Chordata, Actinopteri, Cypriniformes, Cyprinidae. The record is from RefSeq and is a predicted model, not a curated record.
UUUUCUUUUUUUUCCUUCCAGAAAUUCUUGUGUUUUAUUUUUUUUCUGAUAAUCAAAUGAAGGCAUGAAACAUUUAUUUAUUUUUAAUCAAAUCAAAAUGAAACCCUUUAAUUUUUUUGGCAAACAAACAGAGGUUUACUGUUAAAAUUAAUACAUGGUAGAAAAAUUAUGUGAAUAUACCUUUAAAAAAAGUUAUAAUAAUAAUUGUAUUUUUUUCUACAAUUAAGUCGUUAAUGUGGUUGUAAUAAUUAUUUUUAUAAUUUAAUUGUUUUAUUUAAAUUUGUCAGUAAAUGGAAUAUAUAAAGACGUACAUUAUACUGUACAAAAGUAAUACAAGAGUAAUAUAUUUCUGUUACAUGUUAAACCGCACUUUUAUUUUGACAGGUUGCGUGAAGUUUCUGUGUGUAUACAGUAUGAUAUGAUGCUGGUUUUCUCAAAUGAAACGGUAAAAUUCUCAUGAAGUGACUCACAGCCUGUAAGUUCAUGUGUUCAUGUAGUGAGAUGCAGAGGCCGAAAAUCACCGCGAGUUCACGUGUGCUUCAGUAUUUGUCAGAGAAGAAAGUCAGACAGCUUUGGAACAAUAUGAGGAGACUUUCUCCAGCAUGCAGUCGGCCCUAAGCACCACAGCCAGUCCAGAGCCACAAGCUCAUGUUUUCAUCCCAAACCUGGAUUAGUGAAGUCUGAUCCCAUAGCCACAGUUCAGCGAGCACACUGCUGGAGCAGUCCUGUACCUAAUUAACUUCAUUUUGCCUCUGUCAGUGAUUCCAAUGUGCAGGCGCAGCAUCAGGCCAAAUAGGAUCUGACAUUGCUUUCAUAAAUUCUAUAAUCUACUUCAG